This 1402-nucleotide long non-coding RNA is filed under the name Gallus gallus (chicken). Its description in RNAcentral is "long non-coding RNA NONGGAT011716". Lineage: Eukaryota; Metazoa; Chordata; Aves; Galliformes; Phasianidae. The record is from RNAcentral.
CGCACACAGCGCACACCCGCGCGGUCCCCGCCGGCGCAGGAGGCGCGGCUCGGCGUACGGGCGAGAGGGGCCCCGGCCGCGACAGACGCAGGGAGACCCCGGGCAGGGCUGCGGGCGCAGGUCCGGCCAUUACCUUUCCGAGCACCUUUCCGCGGCAGUAGCGCUUCCCCGUCGUGGGAUCGGUUAUAAUCCGGGACACCUCGGCGGCAGGGUGCGCGUGCUGGUGGGGCUGUUCCUCCGCCUUCUUUCUUCGCGGCUCGGCACUGCCGGCCCUCCCCACGGCCGCCUCGCAGCCUCUGGCAGCGGCGGUAGUACUAGAAGCUCCGCCGCCGCCCGGCGGGUAGGCGAUGGUCCGCAGCAGCUCCAUCUCCGCGCUGCCGUCCCGCCCGUCUCCCACCUGCCACUGGUCUCACUUCCCUCCCUGCUCCCGACGCACUCCCAACGCCGAGCAGCGCCCGGCUCGCCCUUAUAUGCCGGAGAAGGCCCCGCCCCGCCGAGUGGGCCGGCCCCGCCCCGCGGCUCGGCCCCGCCUGCUGCUGCCCAGAACGGCCCGGCCCGGCCGGGUAAAACCCCUGUGCAGCCGCCGAGGCAGCGCUCAGGGCACCGCGGUCGCCCGCAGUCACUCCCGGCUGGAACUCAGCGAAGGGAAGGCCAGUGCUGGGCGCGCCUUGCUGCCCUGGCCGUUGCUCACACGGCGAGCCGUUCCUUCCCAGCCACAACCCUGGGCUCCGGAGCUGUCUGACGACGGGACAGGUGCAGGCAGCACUAACGUUUUGUUUUCACGGACAAAGACGUUUCUUCGGACAUCCCAAACACACCUCUAAGGCAACGGUACUUCAAGCAUCACAUCCCAUUCUCUUCUUCCUCCAGACACCUCCUCCCGGCAGCCCGCAGCUUUUCCCACCAGCAGUUGCUUGCGGUGCUGCAGUGCAUGGCACCGAAAGGCUGUGGCCGGGGGCAGCAGGACAGCCGCCUGGAAGCACCUCCUGCAGCAUGCUCUCCCUCCUUCCAGGAUGCUGCUUUGCAGCUGGCAUUAAAAUUUCUCCCUGCUGAGUAAUUAGCAUCGGAAACCGGGGAGCACAGUCCUUGAUCUUUAAUACAGAUGUUUGAAAGAAAUGGUCCCUGAAGAGUGAAGGGUGCACAUGAGAGGAAAGUUUUAAAGUGUGAAAGUUGCUGUUCAUUUCUGAAAAUGUGUUUGCUUGUUCGUACACACUGGGAGUACCUCUGCUUACUCACAGUGCUGGUAAAAACAGAAGUCCAGUUAAUUCAGUACAAAUUGACAUCUGAGGACAUGACCAGACAAAAGAGCAUGACACCCUCCCCUGGGCACUUCUUCUUUCACAUCUUAAAAUAACAGUAAUAUACACUCAUUUUACAGUGUCAACAGCAGUACGUAUGUUUU